Molecule: ribosomal RNA, 524 nt
Filed under: Vairimorpha ceranae
Lineage: Eukaryota; Fungi; Microsporidia; Nosematidae
Description: Nosema ceranae partial small subunit ribosomal RNA
Rfam family: Microsporidia small subunit ribosomal RNA
Source: RNAcentral
GGUUGAUUUUGCCUGACGUAGACGUUUUUCCCUAAGAUUAACCCAUGCAUGUUUUUGACAUUUGAAAAAUGGACUGCUCAGUAAUACUCCCUUUUUUUUAUGUAAAUUUUUAAUUAACUACGUUAAAGUGUAGAUAAGAUGUUUACAGUAAGAGUGAGACCUUUCAGCUAGUUGUUAAGGUAAUGGCUUAACAAGGCUGUGACGGGUAACGGUAUUACUUUGUAAUAUUCCGGAGAAGGAGCCUGAGAGACGGCUACUAAGUUUAAGGAUUGCAGCAGGGGCGAAACUUGACCUAUGGAUUUUAUUUGAGGCAGUUAUGGGAAGUAAUAUUAUAUUGUUUCAUAUUUUAAAAGUAUAUGAGGUGAUUAAUUGGAGGGCAAAUCAAGUGCCAGCAGCCGCGGUAAUACUUGUUCCAAGAGUGUGUAUGAUGAUUGAUGCAGUUAAAAAGUCCGUAGUUUAUUUUUUUAAGAAGCAAUAUGAGGUGUACUGUAUAGUUGGGAGAAAGAUGAAAUGUGGCGACCCUG